This 1003-nucleotide long non-coding RNA is filed under the name Fukomys damarensis (Damara mole-rat). RNAcentral describes it as "lncRNA (ENSFDAG00000033553.1)". Lineage: Eukaryota; Metazoa; Chordata; Mammalia; Rodentia; Bathyergidae. The record is from RNAcentral.
CCCGGGAUUGUUGGAGACACAGUACAAGCUCUGGGAAAAUGGGUGAAUUGAAUGGCAUUUUACACAUAAAGAAACCCAAGCACAGAGAGAUUCAGGAAGUUACCCAAUAUCUUCCGGCUUCAUAAGUCAGCAAAGUCAGGGUUUGAAGCCAUGUUCAUCCGACUCUGCACCUGCCCUCUGAGCACAGCAGGAAAAAUGGCUUGACGAAAGUGCCCCAUGAUAUGGAGGGUCACAGGCAGAGGCCCACAGGCAGGAAAGUCACAGGAUGUUCUAUGGCCAGUGAAGAAUUUAGCUCUAGCAGAGAGCUUGUGCAGGGCAGGAAUAGGAAGCUGAGGUUGGCAUGGAAACCUUGACUGCCAUGCUAGGGAGGAGGAACUGCUGGGCUGAAAAGGGCAAUUCGGAGAGACAGAGCGGUACAAAAGGGCACACAUUUGGGGGCUCAGAAGGCAGGCGGCCAAGGCAAGACUCUGGGGAAGCUGACACUCCAGGGAGGAACGAAGACCAUGUGCUUCAGAGAAACAAGCCAAACAUGAUCUUAAGGCUGGAUCACUGGACCUUGCCCUACCUGCUCAUCCUCACCGGGAGAACCUUAGUCACCUCCUGGCUCCUGGAAGGAACACGCCCUCCUGCCCUUGAGGCCAGCCAGAACCCUGCCCUGCCUGGCUCAAAGCUGGAGACCCCUCACCUGGCCUGUGACUUCAAGGCUGGAGACCCCGCAUCUGACCUGCAACAGCUGACAUUUUCCAUGGCUCCCCAUGGCUUUGUGGGUGCUGGAGCACUGGUGUGUAUGACCUCUCUAACCCUCAUGAAUUCCUUGAGGACAGUCACUAGUACUGUCCCCAUUUUACAGAUACGAAGGACUGAGGCAGUGGAAAGCUGGGUAACCUGCCCAUGUGGCCCAGCCAGCAGGGGGCAGCCUCCAGUGGUUAACCACAGCAGUGGGUGCUCCACAGAUGUCUGUAAACUAAUAACGCCAGCCCGUGUCUUCUGUAACAGGAAUUAA